This 763-nucleotide ribosomal RNA is filed under the name Halomonas sp. JSM 111097. Its description in RNAcentral is "bacterial SSU rRNA". It matches the Rfam family "Bacterial small subunit ribosomal RNA", at positions 659 to 1422 of the family's 1533-position model. Lineage: Bacteria; Pseudomonadati; Pseudomonadota; Gammaproteobacteria; Oceanospirillales; Halomonadaceae. The record is from RNAcentral.
AGGUAGAAUUCCCGGUGUAGCGGUGAAAUGCGUAGAGAUCGGGAGGAAUACCAGUGGCGAAGGCGGCCUUCUGGACUGACACUGACGCUGAGGUGCGAAAGCGUGGGUAGCAAACAGGAUUAGAUACCCUGGUAGUCCACGCCGUAAACGAUGUCGACUAGCCGUUGGGCUCCUUGAGAGCUUUGUGGCGCAGUUAACGCGAUAAGUCGACCGCCUGGGGAGUACGGCCGCAAGGUUAAAACUCAAAUGAAUUGACGGGGGCCCGCACAAGCGGUGGAGCAUGUGGUUUAAUUCGAUGCAACGCGAAGAACCUUACCUACCCUUGACAUCGAGAGAACUUUCCAGAGAUGGAUUGGUGCCUUAGGGAACUCUCAGACAGGUGCUGCAUGGCUGUCGUCAGCUCGUGUUGUGAAAUGUUGGGUUAAGUCCCGUAACGAGCGCAACCCUUGUCCCUAUUUGCCAGCGAUUCGGUCGGGAACUCUAGGGAGACUGCCGGUGACAAACCGGAGGAAGGUGGGGACGACGUCAAGUCAUCAUGGCCCUUACGGGUAGGGCUACACACGUGCUACAAUGGCCGGUACAAUGGGUUGCGAAUCCGCGAGGUGGAGCUAAUCCCAUAAAGCCGGUCUCAGUCCGGAUCGGAGUCUGCAACUCGACUCCGUGAAGUCGGAAUCGCUAGUAAUCGUGAAUCAGAAUGUCACGGUGAAUACGUUCCCGGGCCUUGUACACACCGCCCGUCACACCAUGGGAGUGGACUGCACCA